Molecule: ribosomal RNA, 393 nt
Filed under: uncultured bacterium
Lineage: Bacteria
Description: bacterial SSU rRNA
Rfam family: Bacterial small subunit ribosomal RNA
Source: RNAcentral
AACGAACGCUGGCGGCAUGCCUAACACAUGCAAGUCGAACGAGACCUUCGGGUCUAGUGGCGCACGGGUGCGUAACGCGUGGGAACCUGCCUUUAGGUUCGGAAUAAACUCAGAGAAAUUUGAGCUAAUACCGGAUGAUGUCUUCGGACCAAAAGAUUUAUCGCCUUUAGAUGGGCCCGCGUAAGAUUAGCUAGUUGGUGGGUAAGGCCUACCAAGGCGACGAUCUUUAGCUGGUCUGAGAGGAUGAUCAGCCACACUGGGACUGAGACACGGCCCAGACUCCUACGGGAGGCAGCAGUGGGAAUAUUGGACAAUGGGCGAAAGCCUGAUCCAGCAAUGCCGCGUGAGUGAUGAAGGCCUUAGGGUGUAAGCUCUUUACCCGAGAUGAUAAUG